Molecule: ribosomal RNA, 253 nt
Filed under: uncultured bacterium
Lineage: Bacteria
Description: partial 16S ribosomal RNA
Rfam family: Bacterial small subunit ribosomal RNA
Source: RNAcentral
UACAGAGGUCUCAAGCGUUGUUCGGAUUCAUUGGGCGUAAAGGGUGCGUAGGUGGCGGGGUAAGUCUGGUGUGAAAUCUCGGGGCUCAACCCCGAAACUGCACUGGAUACUGCCUUGCUCGAGUACUGGAGAGGAGAUUGGAAUUUACGGUGUAGCAGUGAAGUGCGUAGAUAUCGUAAGGAAGACCAGUGGCGAAGGCGAAUCUCUGGACAGUUACUGACACUGAGGCACGAAGGCCAGGGGAGCAAACGGG